RNAcentral lists this ribosomal RNA (541 nucleotides) under uncultured bacterium. Its description in RNAcentral is "bacterial SSU rRNA". It matches the Rfam family "Bacterial small subunit ribosomal RNA", at positions 777 to 1317 of the family's 1533-position model. The record is from RNAcentral.
AAUAGAUACCCGGGUAGUCCACGCCGUAAACGAUGUCGACUUGGAGGUUGUUCCCUUGAGGAGUGGCUUCCGGAGCUAACGCGUUAAGUCGACCGCCUGGGGAGUACGGCCGCAAGGUUAAAACUCAAAUGAAUUGACGGGGGGCCCGCACAAGCGGUGGAGCAUGUGGUUUAAUUCGAUGCAACGCGAAGAACCUUACCUACUCUUGACAUCCAGAGAACUUUCCAGAGAUGGAUUGGUGCCUUCGGGAACUCUGAGACAGGUGCUGCAUGGCUGUCGUCAGCUCGUGUUGUGAAAUGUUGGGUUAAGUCCCGCAACGAGCGCAACCCUUAUCCUUUGUUGCCAGCGGUUCGGCCGGGAACUCAAAGGAGACUGCCAGUGAUAAACUGGAGGAAGGUGGGGAUGACGUCAAGUCAUCAUGGCCCUUACGAGUAGGGCUACACACGUGCUACAAUGGCGUAUACAAAGAGAAGCGACCUCGCGAGAGCAAGCGGACCUCAUAAAGUACGUCGUAGUCCGGAUUGGAGUCUGCAACUCGACU